GGGCCCGUAGCUCAGCUUGGCCAGAGCAGCUGGCUUUUAACCAGAAGGUCGGGGGUUCGAAUCCCCCCGGGCCCG
Candidatus Micrarchaeota archaeon CG1_02_55_41 is the source of this 75-nucleotide non-coding RNA. Lineage: Archaea; Nanobdellati; Microcaldota. The record is from Rfam.